RNAcentral lists this ribosomal RNA (1470 nucleotides) under metagenome. RNAcentral describes it as "bacterial SSU rRNA". It matches the Rfam family "Bacterial small subunit ribosomal RNA". The record is from RNAcentral.
AGAGUUUGAUCCUGGCUCAGAACGAACGCUGGCGGCGUGGAUAAGACAUGCAAGUCGAACGAGAGAAUUGCUAGCUUGCUAAUAAUUCUCUAGUGGCGCACGGGUGAGUAACACGUGAGUAACCUGCCCCCGAGAGCGGGAUAGCCCUGGGAAACUGGGAUUAAUACCGCAUAGUAUCGAAAGAUUAAAGCAGCAAUGCGCUUGGGGAUGGGCUCGCGGCCUAUUAGUUAGUUGGUGAGGUAACGGCUCACCAAGGCGAUGACGGGUAGCCGGUCUGAGAGGAUGUCCGGCCACACUGGAACUGAGACACGGUCCAGACACCUACGGGUGGCAGCAGUCGAGAAUCAUUCACAAUGGGGGAAACCCUGAUGGUGCGACGCCGCGUGGGGGAAUGAAGGUCUUCGGAUUGUAAACCCCUGUCAUGUGGGAGCAAAUUAAAAAGAUAGUACCACAAGAGGAAGAGACGGCUAACUCUGUGCCAGCAGCCGCGGUAAUACAGAGGUCUCAAGCGUUGUUCGGAAUCACUGGGCGUAAAGCGUGCGUAGGCUGUUUCGUAAGUCGUGUGUGAAAGGCGCGGGCUCAACCCGCGGACGGCACAUGAUACUGCGAGACUAGAGUAAUGGAGGGGGAACCGGAAUUCUCGGUGUAGCAGUGAAAUGCGUAGAUAUCGAGAGGAACACUCGUGGCGAAGGCGGGUUCCUGGACAUUAACUGACGCUGAGGCACGAAGGCCAGGGGAGCGAAAGGGAUUAGAUACCCCUGUAGUCCUGGCAGUAAACGGUGCACGCUUGGUGUGCGGGGAAUCGACCCCCUGCGUGCCGGAGCUAACGCGUUAAGCGUGCCGCCUGGGGAGUACGGUCGCAAGAUUAAAACUCAAAGAAAUUGACGGGGACCCGCACAAGCGGUGGAGUAUGUGGCUUAAUUCGAUGCAACGCGAAGAACCUUACCUGGGCUUGACAUGUAAUGAACAACAUGUGAAAGCAUGCGACUCUUCGGAGGCGUUACACAGGUGCUGCAUGGCCGUCGUCAGCUCGUGUCGUGAGAUGUUUGGUUAAGUCCAGCAACGAGCGCAACCCCUGUUGCCAGUUACCAGCACGUGAAGGUGGGGACUCUGGCGAGACUGCCCAGAUCAACUGGGAGGAAGGUGGGGACGACGUCAGGUCAGUAUGGCCCUUAUGCCCAGGGCUGCACACGUACUACAAUGCCCAGUACAGAGGGGGCCGAAGCCGCGAGGCGGAGGAAAUCCUAAAAACUGGGCCCAGUUCGGACUGUAGGCUGCAACCCGCCUACACGAAGCCGGAAUCGCUAGUAAUGGCGCAUCAGCUACGGCGCCGUGAAUACGUUCCCGGGUCUUGUACACACCGCCCGUCACAUCAUGGAAGCCGGUCGCACCCGAAGUAUCUGAAGCCAACCGCAAGGAGGCAGGGUCCUAAGGUGAGACUGGUAACUGGGAUGAAGUCGUAACAAGGUA